CGUUAUGCCUAUUGUUAUUUUGGACUAUAGGGUGUAGUUUUUAAAGUCAUACACAAUAUGGCGGCGAUUAUGCGGAAAUGAAAUUGAAUGUUACUUCGAACACGUUCUUCUACAAAAUAACCGACCUGUAUUUAGUGCUAUUGCUUUAACAUCAAUCGAAGCAAAAAUGGCACCAAUGUAUGCGUCUAAAAAUGUUAAAUUUAGAUGGAGACAAUCCAGAAAUGAGCUGCCAGGAAGUGAUCGAUUUCGGAAACGAAGAUUGAGAAGUGCCUGGAUACAAGGCUAGUAUUGUUAACAUCAUCUGAUACAAUCAACUUGAACAAAGCUGAAAUGGCUGCCUGACCUGACGUAAAAAUUGGAUGGCAGUACAUCAGACUAGAAGAUUACAAGUAUUGAGGUGGACAAAAUGAAACCUGAGCCUACCAAAGCUGACAGAUUGCACAAGAAACACAUGAAUGCAGAUUGGAAGAUUCAUUCUCUGGAAAGUAGAAAAGGGCAUGUUACAUACUGUUAUCACUGCCAUGACAGAAACCAUAUUGAGGAGCUGGUCCACCUGUAGGAAGAAUUGCGCUAUUGGUUGGAGCAGCACUAUUACCCAGCCAUACACCAGCACUUAGUUUGUCAUAGGGAGCAUUUCUGAGCAGUUAUGGAGACCACUAACUAUGCAGUUGUUGCAGUGAAACUUGCACCAGUGUGUUUUCUGUGGAGAUAAAGAGAUAGUGUCCAGCAAUGAAGACCCAACUCAAGAUCUGACCUUGUAAGGCCAAUAUGAAAUAACUGUGUGGGAAAAUGGGAAAAACCUGCAGUCAGGAAUGCACGGAAAUCAUCAAAAGAACAGUGUUAAAUUAAUCUUGAAUAACUUGACAUUUAUUUUGUUUGACAUAUUUAUUCAUGGUGCAGUGAAAACAUUCUUUUUUUCUCAUGGUUAUUUAAAUUUAGAAUUGAUAGGAGGGAACAUCACUAUGUAGUUUCAUGUUCAUAGUCAGAUCAAAACCCAUGUACAUGCCCAAAUGAGCAUUCGAAAAUAUCAAAAUGGUA
Long non-coding RNA from Mya arenaria, 1038 nucleotides. RefSeq lists it as uncharacterized. The transcript has 4 exons. The record is from RefSeq and is a predicted model, not a curated record. NCBI's taxonomy places the organism in Eukaryota, Metazoa, Mollusca, Bivalvia, Myida, Myidae.